UACGUAGGGGGCAAGCGUUGUCCGGAUUUAUUGGGCGUAAAGAGCGUGUAGGCGGUUUGGUAGGUCCGCUGUGAAAACUCGAGGCUCAACCUCGAGACGCCGGUGGAAACCAUCAGGCUAGAGUCCGGAAGAGGAGAGUGGAAUUCCUGGUGUAGCGGUGAAAUGCGCAGAUAUUGGGAGGAACACCAGUGGCGAAGGCGGCUCACUGGACCGGUUCUGACGCUGAGGCGCGAAAGCGUGGGGAGCAAACGGG
RNAcentral lists this ribosomal RNA (253 nucleotides) under uncultured bacterium. RNAcentral describes it as "partial 16S ribosomal RNA". It matches the Rfam family "Bacterial small subunit ribosomal RNA", at positions 524 to 776 of the family's 1533-position model. The record is from RNAcentral.